RNAcentral lists this unclassified non-coding RNA (261 nucleotides) under uncultured fungus. RNAcentral describes it as "sequence contains ITS1, 5.8S rRNA gene". The stretch from base 213 to 261 matches the Rfam family "5.8S ribosomal RNA", at positions 1 to 49 of the family's 154-position model. Lineage: Eukaryota; Fungi. The record is from RNAcentral.
UCUCCGUUGGUGAACCAGCGGAGGGAUCAUUGCUGGAACGCGCCUCGGCGCACCCAGAAACCCUUUGUGAACUUAUACCUUACUGUUGCCUCGGCGCAGGCCGGCCCUCCUCGCGGGGGCCCCUCGUUCCUGACGAGGAGCAGGCUCGCCGGCGGCCAAGUUAACUCUUGUUUUUAUUGUGAAACUCUGAGAAUAAAACAUAAAUGAAUCAAAACUUUCAACAACGGAUCUCUUGGUUCUGGCAUCGAUGAAGAACGCAGC